RNAcentral lists this long non-coding RNA (539 nucleotides) under Marmota monax (woodchuck). Lineage: Eukaryota; Metazoa; Chordata; Mammalia; Rodentia; Sciuridae. The record is from RNAcentral.
AUAACCUUUUCUAUUGCAUACGUCCUUUUCAAAAAUAUUAGAGAUUCUUGUAAUUCUGGAGUUUUUGAAAGGGAAAGGUAUUAGAAAUCAUCUGUGGUUUCAAAAUGAGACAGCCGAAGCCCAGAGAAGUAGGGACCUUGUUCACAGCUGAACUGAAGCUGGGUUAGCUACAGAUUCUGGAUGGAGACAGAUCCCUUGAUGUCCAGCCAGUGGACCUUUUGUUAAACCUCCUGGCAGGGAUGCCCAGUUAGAAAUAUGGAUCGGGGGAGGAUGCUACUUCGGCUAAAAAUAUUUUGUAUUCCAAAGGCAGCAAGAUUAAUUGUUGCUUUAGGUAAUAAACCAAAGGAUCAGAAGGAAUGACCUCUGGGAAGAAUGGACCAGAUCUUGGUAAUGUUGUCUUUGGUGUUGACAAAUGAUUCUGAAACCUCUGGACAUUAUUUGGCAGCCACCACGAGAAUGUCGUCCAAAGCACCUUCAUAGGGGAGAACACCAGGCUUGUAUUGCUAUAAUAAGUCAGAUACGUGAAAAGUAGGAUUCAC